This 253-nucleotide ribosomal RNA is filed under the name uncultured bacterium. Its description in RNAcentral is "partial 16S ribosomal RNA". It matches the Rfam family "Bacterial small subunit ribosomal RNA", at positions 524 to 776 of the family's 1533-position model. The record is from RNAcentral.
UACAGAGGGUGCGAGCGUUAAUCGGAAUUACUGGGCGUAAAGCGCACGUAGGCGGCUUGGUAUGUCGGGUGUGAAAUCCCCGGGCUCAACCUGGGAACUGCAUCCGAAACUGCCUUGCUAGAGUAUGGGAGAGGGAAGUGGAAUUUCCGGUGUAGCGGUGAAAUGCGUAGAUAUCUGGAGGAACACCGGUGGCGAAGGCGGCGUUCUGGACUGCAACUGACACUGAAAAACGAAAGCCAGGGGAGCAAACGGG